RNAcentral lists this ribosomal RNA (1395 nucleotides) under Bacteroides thetaiotaomicron. RNAcentral describes it as "16S ribosomal RNA". It matches the Rfam family "Bacterial small subunit ribosomal RNA". The record is from RNAcentral. Lineage: Bacteria; Pseudomonadati; Bacteroidota; Bacteroidia; Bacteroidales; Bacteroidaceae.
AGAGUUUGAUCAUGGCUCAGGAUGAACGCUAGCUACAGGCUUAACACAUGCAAGUCGAGGGGCAGCAUUUCAGUUUGCUUGCAAACUGGAGAUGGCGACCGGCGCACGGGUGAGUAACACGUAUCCAACCUGCCGAUAACUCGGGGAUAGCCUUUCGAAAGAAAGAUUAAUACCCGAUGGCAUAAUUAGACCGCAUGGUCUUAUUAUUAAAGAAUUUCGGUUAUCGAUGGGGAUGCGUUCCAUUAGGCAGUUGGUGAGGUAACGGCUCACCAAACCUUCGAUGGAUAGGGGUUCUGAGAGGAAGGUCCCCCACAUUGGAACUGAGACACGGUCCAAACUCCUACGGGAGGCAGCAGUGAGGAAUAUUGGUCAAUGGACGAGAGUCUGAACCARCCAAGUAGCGUGAAGGAUGACUGCCCUAUGGGUUGUAAACUUCUUUUAUAUGGGAAUAAAGUUUUCCACGUGUGGAAUUUUGUAUGUACCAUAUGAAUAAGGAUCGGCUAACUCCGUGCCAGCAGCCGCGGUAAUACGGAGGAUCCGAGCGUUAUCCGGAUUUAUUGGGUUUAAAGGGAGCGUAGGUGGACAGUUAAGUCAGUUGUGAAAGUUUGCGGCUCAACCGUAAAAUUGCAGUUGAUACUGGCUGUCUUGAGUACAGUAGAGGUGGGCGGAAUUCGUGGUGUAGCGGUGAAAUGCUUAGAUAUCACGAAGAACUCCGAUUGCGAAGGCAGCUCACUGGACUGCAACUGACACUGAUGCUCGAAAGUGUGGGUAUCAAACAGGAUUAGAUACCCUGGUAGUCCACACAGUAAACGAUGAAUACUCGCUGUUUGCGAUAUACAGUAAGCGGCCAAGCGAAAGCAUUAAGUAUUCCACCUGGGGAGUACGCCGGCAACGGUGAAACUCAAAGGAAUUGACGGGGGCCCGCACAAGCGGAGGAACAUGUGGUUUAAUUCGAUGAUACGCGAGGAACCUUACCCGGGCUUAAAUUGCAUUUGAAUAAUCUGGAAACAGGUUAGCCGCAAGGCAAAUGUGAAGGUGCUGCAUGGUUGUCGUCAGCUCGUGCCGUGAGGUGUCGGCUUAAGUGCCAUAACGAGCGCAACCCUUAUCUUUAGUUACUAACAGGUCAUGCUGAGGACUCUAGAGAGACUGCCGUCGUAAGAUGUGAGGAAGGUGGGGAUGACGUCAAAUCAGCACGGCCCUUACGUCCGGGGCUACACACGUGUUACAAUGGGGGGUACAGAAGGCAGCUACCUGGUGACAGGAUGCUAAUCCCAAAAGCCUCUCUCAGUUCGGAUCGAAGUCUGCAACCCGACUUCGUGAAGCUGGAUUCGCUAGUAAUCGCGCAUCAGCCAUGGCGCGGUGAAUACGUUCCCGGGCCUUGUACACACCGCCCGU